GUGGGGAAUCUUGCGCAAUGGGCGAAAGCCUGACGCAGCCAUGCCGCGUGAAUGAUGAAGGUCUUAGGAUUGUAAAAUUCUUUCACCGGGGACGAUAAUGACGGUACCCGGAGAAGAAGCUCCGGCUAACUUCGUGCCAGCAGCCGCGGUAAUACGAAGGGGGCUAGCGUUGCUCGGAAUUACUGGGCGUAAAGGGCGCGUAGGCGGACAGCUUAGUCAGAGGUGAAAGCCAAGGGCUCAACCUUGGAAUUGCCUUUGAUACUGGCUGUCUUGAGUUUGGGAGAGGUGGGUGGAACUCCGAGUGUAGAGGUGAAAUUCGUAGAUAUUCGGAAGAACACCAGUGGCGAAGGCGACUCACUGGCCCAAUACUGACGCUGAGGCGCGAAAGCGUGGGGAGCAAACAGGAUUAGAAACCCGAGUAGUCC
This 425-nucleotide ribosomal RNA is filed under the name uncultured bacterium. RNAcentral's name for it is "partial 16S ribosomal RNA". It matches the Rfam family "Bacterial small subunit ribosomal RNA", at positions 354 to 796 of the family's 1533-position model. The record is from RNAcentral.